RNAcentral lists this transfer RNA (75 nucleotides) under Verrucomicrobiaceae bacterium. RNAcentral describes it as "tRNA-Glu". It matches the Rfam family "tRNA". Rfam says of the family: Transfer RNA (tRNA) molecules are approximately 80 nucleotides in length. Their secondary structure includes four short double-helical elements and three loops (D, anti-codon, and T loops). Further hydrogen bonds mediate the characteristic L-shaped molecular structure. tRNAs have two regions of fundamental functional importance: the anti-codon, which is responsible for specific mRNA codon recognition, and the 3' end, to which the tRNAs corresponding amino acid is attached (by aminoacyl-tRNA synthetases). tRNAs cope with the degeneracy of the genetic code in two manners: having more than one tRNA (with a specific anti-codon) for a particular amino acid; and 'wobble' base-pairing, i.e. permitting non-standard base-pairing at the 3rd anti-codon position. The record is from RNAcentral. Lineage: Bacteria; Pseudomonadati; Verrucomicrobiota; Verrucomicrobiia; Verrucomicrobiales; Verrucomicrobiaceae.
GCGCCCAUCGUCUAGUGGUCAGGACGCGAGGUUUUCAUCCUCGAAACCGGAGUUCAAUUCUCCGUGGGCGCGCGA